Long non-coding RNA from Daphnia magna, 928 nucleotides. RefSeq lists it as uncharacterized. The transcript is spliced from 2 exons. Lineage: Eukaryota; Metazoa; Arthropoda; Branchiopoda; Diplostraca; Daphniidae. The record is from RefSeq and is a predicted model, not a curated record.
UCAAUUCUGUUAAGUAGGAAAUAAAAUUUUUACAAUAAUUUAUUUUUUUUAUUUUUUGAAAUAUUUUUAGCCACAUAGUUCAUUUUUUAAUAUAAAUAUAUGUUAAAUACAAUAUUUUAAAAAAAUUUAUAUGUGUUCGCUUUGCGGUUUUCCAGCAACAGAUGGUUUGCUAGAGUUCGCGGGGGGUUUAAAAAGGAUAAAGGGAAAAAAAUUCUGUCAACGAGCAGAAACCAUGGCAACCAAGCAGACAAAUGGCUGUCAUUAGAAAAAAAGUGCGCCAAAUUUUUUUAAAGUGUUUUUGCUAGUGAAAGACUGUUUUUAAAUUUAAAAAAAUUUUGUUGAUACGCAAAAUAAAAAGACACAUGGUGUAUAACCUAUGUGGGUACUUAUUGCACUCUAGGAAGUAUUUAUUGAAAUGUGAAGAUUGCCUAAAUACCCUCGAAACAUCUUUGGAAUCGCUUCCCCCUGAUUUUUCUGAAGCAAUUGCGACAAACAGAAAGGAUCGCGGUGGUCUGAAGUACUGCACCAAAGAAAUGUUCGACUUGUUCAUCAUAGUUGAAGAAGCUUACCGGGCAGAGGUUGACUUAGGGAAACUGAACAUCCUGGACUGGUUUGAGAGAUCGAUGGAAACUCUGGGUGUGCUGGUGAAGGAAAAUAAAUUCAAUCCCACCAUUUGCUGCGACACACAUCGGAAGGAACUUGUCGGUAAAUUAGUUUUAGAGUAUUUAAUCAUCAGAAAUCAUUUGGAAACUAAAAAGUGGGUUAAGGAAUUCAAUCAACAAUCAAAGUCAAAAUCACUGCGAAAACAAGCAAAAGUGAUUUCUUAGUCUCUUUUCCUUUUUUACUUUUACCGUACUGCCAUUCUUACUGACUAAUCUAAAGUUGUAACUAAGAAACGAUUCAAGCAAUAAAACUUGUUCAAAAUGUG